This 668-nucleotide ribosomal RNA is filed under the name Alexandrium tamarense. RNAcentral's name for it is "LSU rRNA". It matches the Rfam family "Eukaryotic large subunit ribosomal RNA", at positions 47 to 651 of the family's 3401-position model. Lineage: Eukaryota; Dinophyceae; Gonyaulacales; Pyrocystaceae. The record is from RNAcentral.
UAAGUGGUGGAAAUUAAACCAAAUGGGAUUCCUUAAGUAAUUGCGAAUGAACAAGGACAUGCUUAGCUUGACAAUUGGAGCCUCUGGCUUCGACUUGUAUUUUUGAAAUGUAUUACCAACAGAGGUGCAGGUGUCAGCCUAUUGAAAGAAAGCGUCAAUGAGGGUGAGAAUCCUGUUUGUCAUGUGCAAUCCUCUGUGCACGGUGUAUGUUUGCUGAGUCACACUCCUUGGCAUUGGAAUGCAAAGUGGGUGGUAAGUUUCAUGUAAAGGUAAAUAUAGGAUUGAGACUGAUAGCACACAAGUACCAUGAGGGAAAUAUGAAAAGGACUUUGAAAAGAGAAUUAAAUGAGUUUGUAUUUGCUGAACAGAAAAUAAACAGAUUUGAUGUUGCUUGGUGAGAUUGUGGUGCUUGCUUGACAAUAGGUUUUGAUUGUGGGUGCGAUGAUUCUUGCUUUGCUUGCCAGUUUCUAUUUGUACAUUUGAUUACCCUUGCACAUGAAUGGUAAUUUUCCUGCGGGGUUUGGAUUGCAUGUGUUUGUGAUGAUUUGUGUUUUGAUUCAUGUGUCUGGUGCUUUUGUAAUUGCUCAUUUCUUGAAGCUGGGGCCUACCCUACUAGAGCUUACAAGCCCUGGCACACAAUUGCUGGCAAAAUGCUUCUGCUUGACCCG